CCCUUCAUGACUGAAUGAACAUUACGGAUCACAGUUUAAUCACAUGUUCUGUCUCUCGGCUUUGGCUUAAAUUCUCUGUGGUAUGUCGGAUAUCCAGACUGAACUUUAGCUUUGAGGUAAACCUGUGCUGAAAAUACAUUUACAAGAUGUGUUUUCCGGUAGGCAACACAUCUCAGAAGUAUAAAGAUGGAUGCUCCUACUGUACCUGGAGUGCCAUCCAGUGAGGCCUUUGCUCCAGAGAGAGUCAGCAGGCCUCCUGGUUUCAGAUGGAGCGAUGCAAGAUGACUGGAAAUGGUGGAGGUCCAGACACUCUGUUUCCACAUCAUAUCAGUGUUCUUAUACAAGUCUAAAAUGAGCAAGUGAGAGAGAGAAAGUUGAUACUACUCCAGCAAAAUCAAUUCAAUUAUGAACUGACUGAAAUUUACUAUUAAAAACAACAACAACAACAACAACUUAAAAGUAACUUAAAUGCCUCCUAAAUAUGUAGCAGGCAUGAAGGUCUCAUGUAUCUUUAUGUUGUGAUACAGUAUGUCAGUAUCUACACCCUCUUUGGAACACGGCUGUCUGUCAUUCAUAAAAUUGUAUGAAUCCCC
Molecule: long non-coding RNA, 593 nt
Organism: Megalobrama amblycephala (Wuchang bream)
Lineage: Eukaryota; Metazoa; Chordata; Actinopteri; Cypriniformes; Xenocyprididae
Exons: 2
Source: RefSeq, a predicted model, not a curated record